UGGCACCUGAUCCUCCGGCACGGGUGUCCAGAUGGACUCAGGGGACUUCUGCUCACGGAAGCGGCCUUCAAACACGGCAGCCACCUGUGCCAUGUCAAAGGCACAGACUGCCGAGCCAGGGAUGCUGGGGAGGAAGAGAGAAGCCCUCCCUGAUCCCUCCUCCAAAGGCAGAGGAUGAGGACCUCCCCAUCUGCCCAGUUCUGACCAAAGGGCAUUGGAAGUGCCCGCUGACCUGUUGCUGGGUGUGGAGAAGACAGCAAGGACCACGGGCCGGCCCCCGAGGCUGACCACGGCGGUGACGGCCCGCAGCACGUUGAAGUAGAAGUGGGAGUCCC
Camelus dromedarius (Arabian camel) is the source of this 335-nucleotide long non-coding RNA. RefSeq lists it as uncharacterized. The record is from RefSeq and is a predicted model, not a curated record. Lineage: Eukaryota; Metazoa; Chordata; Mammalia; Artiodactyla; Camelidae. The transcript has 3 exons.